GGAGGGGUUCCCGAGUGGCCAAAGGGGACGGGCUGUAAACCCGUUGGCUCUGCCUUCGGAGGUUCGAAUCCUCCCCCCUCCACCA
This 85-nucleotide transfer RNA is filed under the name Candidatus Desulfofervidus auxilii. RNAcentral describes it as "tRNA-Tyr". It matches the Rfam family "tRNA". Rfam says of the family: Transfer RNA (tRNA) molecules are approximately 80 nucleotides in length. Their secondary structure includes four short double-helical elements and three loops (D, anti-codon, and T loops). Lineage: Bacteria; Pseudomonadati; Thermodesulfobacteriota; Candidatus Desulfofervidia; Candidatus Desulfofervidales; Candidatus Desulfofervidaceae. The record is from RNAcentral.